UACAGAGGGUGCAAGCGUUAUUCGGAAUUAUUGGGCAUAAAGCGCAUGUAGGUGGUUUGGUAAGUCUGAUGUGAAAUCCCCGGACUCAAUUCGGGAAGUGCAUUGGAUACUGCCAGACUGGAGUAUGGGAGAGGUGAGCGGAAUUCCAGGUGUAGAGGUGAAAUUCGUAGAUAUCUGGAGGAACAACAGAGGCGAAGGCGGCUCACUGGACCAUUACUGACACUGAGAUGCGAAAGCGUGGGGAGCAAACAGG
This 253-nucleotide ribosomal RNA is filed under the name uncultured bacterium. Its description in RNAcentral is "partial 16S ribosomal RNA". It matches the Rfam family "Bacterial small subunit ribosomal RNA", at positions 524 to 776 of the family's 1533-position model. The record is from RNAcentral.